GACGAACGCUGGCGGCGUGCUUAACACAUGCAAGUCGAGCGGUAAGGCCCUUUCGGGCGUACACGAGCGGCGAACGGGUGAGUAACACGUGGGUGACCUGCCCUCAGCUCUGGGAUAAGCCUGGGAAACCGGGUCUAAUACUGGAUAUGACUCCAUGACGCAUGUUGUGGGGUGGAAAGCCUUGUGCGGCUGAGGAUGGGCCCGCGGCCUAUCAGCUUGUUGGUGGGGUGAUGGCCUACCAAGGCGACGACGGGUAGCCGGCCUGAGAGGGCGACCGGCCACACUGGGACUGAGACACGGCCC
RNAcentral lists this ribosomal RNA (303 nucleotides) under uncultured bacterium. RNAcentral describes it as "bacterial SSU rRNA". It matches the Rfam family "Bacterial small subunit ribosomal RNA", at positions 28 to 332 of the family's 1533-position model. The record is from RNAcentral.